This 607-nucleotide ribosomal RNA is filed under the name uncultured bacterium. Its description in RNAcentral is "bacterial SSU rRNA". It matches the Rfam family "Bacterial small subunit ribosomal RNA", at positions 239 to 842 of the family's 1533-position model. The record is from RNAcentral.
CAUUAGCUAGUUGGAGGGGUAACGGCCCACCAAGGCGACGAUGCGUAGCCGGCCUGAGAGGGUGGACGGCCACACUGGGACUGAGACACGGCCCAGACUCCUACGGGAGGCAGCAGUAGGGAAUUUUCGGCAAUGGACGAAAGUCUGACCGAGCAACGCCGCGUGAGGGAGGAAGUACUUCGGUAUGUAAACCUCUGUUAUAAAGGAAGAACGGUAUAAUCAGGGAAUGGGUUAUAAGUGACGGUACUUUAUGAGGAAGCCACGGCUAACUACGUGCCAGCAGCCGCGGUAAUACGUAGGUGGCGAGCGUUAUCCGGAAUCAUUGGGCGUAAAGAGGGAGCAGGCGGCAGCAAGGGUCUGCGGUGAAAGACCGAAGCUAAACUUCGGUAAGCCGUGGAAACCGGGCAGCUAGAGAGCAUCAGAGGAUCGCGGAAUUCCAUGUGUAGCGGUGAAAUGCGUAGAUAUAUGGAGGAACACCAGUGGCGAAGGCGGCGAUCUGGGGUGCAACUGACGCUCAGUCCCGAAAGCGUGGGGAGCAAAUAGGAUUAGAUACCCUAGUAGUCCACGCCGUAAACGAUGAGUACUAAGUGUUGGGGGUCAGACCUCA